GAACAGUCUUAAAGGGUUUUUAAGACAUUUCACCUAGACACGUGGGAGGUUCUUUAGCCCUCCACAUUUUAUCAAUCCCAUUUUCUUUUGCUACAUACAGGCACAACAGGGAGAUAGAGAGAGGAGUGAGAGAGACGAGGACGAGAGAACGGAGCGACCGUGAUGGAAGAACCAGCUCCAAACGCCGUCGAGGAAGCGGUAACUUUUGUUUCGAUGUCACCAAACGCCGCUAACUGAACCAGACGUCUGAGAUGACGGCGGCGAGUUCUAGAGUCCUGAUCUGUCAAUUGGUCGCCGGUUGUAACUUCUCCAUGGAAUUUGGCUGGUUAACGGGGAUAAUCCGGUGGAUCUGGCGACUGAGUUGGGUUCUGGUGUUUUUUAGUGCUCAAGGUUGUUAGAUUGGGUCAUCAGACUACAGGAUAGGGAAAUCUUCCGGCGGUGAACACAUGCUAUUUGAAAUGCAAGUCAAUGAUGGGUGCGACUAAAUCAAAGGUACCUUGGUGCAAGAGAGGUAAACUCAUAACUCAUAUUGCUUUAGGGCUCAUGUAUGUCUUUAAAUAUACAUUAUCUGGAUUCAUGGAACUUCAUGUUGAAUUUAAGAAUAUUAGCAAGUAUAUCUAAACCUUAAUUUGUGUUUUUUGAUGUUUACUGAAACCCUAAAUUGUAUCAUCUUGAUUAUACCUGGUGUGGUUUGAUUUAAACUUUCCAAAUUUUGAGAAGAAUUGGAGGCACUAAGACUGUGGGGUAUGGGGCUUGGGUUGGGGGAAAACGCCCAAGCCACCACCCCUUGGGGCUUGGGUUGGGGCGUGGCCCUUGGGGCUUGGGUUUGAAGCCGGGCGUGGGGCGGGCUUGGGUUUGAUGUGGCGGCCUCCUAUUCGCCUUGGGUUUUAAAUUUUAUAUAUAUAUAUAUACAUAUAUAUAUAUAUAUAUAUAUAUAUAUAUUAAUAACCUGCCAACCCACGCGGUGCACCCACGCCCCGCCAUACCCCACGGACACGUCACUAGGCGGUGGGAGGGCUCGAACUCCACGUGUCAACUCAUGCCCCCAACCUAAGCCCCGCCAUACCCCACAGACACGUCACUAUUUGCUAUGUUUUAACUCAAUAUCAUUUGUUGUGUGUUGUUUCAAUUUCUCUGCAGUAACAAAGCAUGUGAUUUACGAACAGCUUGCUGAAGUUCUGAUCAGAACCGAACAAGAGAACAAAACUUUUAUGAGUUGAUUUUGGUGUCAACCCCGGACAAAAUGGUAGGUAUAAUUUUGGUUCUCUUGAUCUUUUGUGUUCCGGUUAUUAGACCUUAUGAGUUGAUUUUGGUGUCAACCCCGGACAAAAUGGUAGGUGUAAUUUUGGUUCUCUUGAUCUUUUGUGUUCCGUCUAUUAGACCACUAUAAGUAAAAAGCGAAAGGGAAAGCCAAUGUCUCUAAUAUUCCCUCACUUUUUACCAUUUCAUACCUACUAAAAUCCAAUCAGUAUAUUCCCACAAAUUUUUAUCUGUUCUAAUAUUCCUACAGUGUUUGGGUAAAUUUGUUGGUUGGUACUUGGUAUUUGUUUGACAAGAAAUUUCCAUGCUCAUUGACUUUGUAAAAAAGUCAAAUAGAUUGUUGUCACUGGUAUCAAUUUUGUAUUUGAAAUCAACCAUGACAGAAUUGUUAAAGUGUUAAUUAUUUAUUAGUACAACUUUAAUGGAUGUUUUGGUAUUUGUAUUCGUUAAGUUUAUAUUUGUAUGCUCUUAUUUAUAUUUACUUUAAUGUUUCUCUAAACAUAAUAGCUAAGGUCUUUUAAUCCUCACUAAACAGAAAGAAAAUAAAUAAUUGGAUCAUGUAGUAAAGAAAACGCUGGCUUCAAUCUGGGAAAUUUCGGACUUUCACGUUUUUGCGACAAAGGGUGCAGAAUACAGUCAUAGAAAGAUAUGGUUUCAUAUGCUAAAAUCAAUAUAUGCUAAUUUCUAUGGUGUCGAUUAAGCAUCGUGCAAAACGAAGUUAAAAAGAUUACUUAAAUGGCUGAUAUCAUAAUAACUUGGAGAUGAAAUGUGAGGACUUUUAUAGGAUUAUACAGCAGAUAGUUGAUGAUCCCCUAAGUCCCUAACUUGUAUUUUAACAGAUGUUUUUUAUGUGCAGGUCAAAUGGGAUGGGUUACAAUGUUACAUUGACUCAAUAAAAAAAAAAAAAAAACAAGCAAACGAGAAUCCCUUUUGGGAAUCCAGCACUUUUGACACCAUAUCGAAGGUUGUGUACAUUCUUUUUGGGAUAGAGUGUCUUCUUACUGCAUUUAAUUUUGUUAUAGUGGAAUAUACAUACAACUUAAUCGAAUUGAUUUCUUUCGAACAAUUGUUUUCGAUCGAUAUAAAUAUCAUGUGUUGAUA
Helianthus annuus (common sunflower) is the source of this 2361-nucleotide long non-coding RNA. RefSeq lists it as uncharacterized. NCBI's taxonomy places the organism in Eukaryota, Viridiplantae, Streptophyta, Magnoliopsida, Asterales, Asteraceae. The record is from RefSeq and is a predicted model, not a curated record. The transcript is spliced from 2 exons.